GCCAUUCAUCGUCAUUUCUUACGGACACCACCACCACCACCACAGCCUCCUCGUCCUUGCUCUCACCCCCAGCCACCUUUUCGCAUCGCCCUACCACCGUUGCCAGCGAGCAGGACCCACUACGCAACGUCAAGGCAAGCAAUCACCACAAGAGCAGCAGCGCGAGGCAUCCGUAGAAGCAGCCACACGCGCCCCGUCACGCCCGACCACGCCACCUCAGCUUCUUUCUGUUCUUGUUACGAGGGCAGACAGGAGACGACCAGGUGAACCAGGCGUCCAGGGAAACGGACAGGGAGGGGCUCCGCAUCUCUGUGGCAGGCAGGCAGGCACCCACGCACCCGCUCUGGCUUUCUGUCUGCCCCGACGUUUCCUCCCUCUGUCGGGUAUUCUUUUUGUCUUGGGUGGUGUCGCCGUUGUGCGGUUUUCCUUGUUUCGUGGACGUGUUAAGUGGAGUGAGCGUGCGUGCCAGCAGUGCAGGUUCUCUCGAUCGCCACCCACCCGCCCCCUCUCCCAAUACGUACGCAGAGGCAUCGGCACGGCAGCCAGGCACACACGGGUACACGUAGACGCAGGGAUGCAGUGUCGACUGAAAACUAACAACAGCUAGCAUUCACUCGCGCUUUCGUUUUUCAUUGUUUGGCGUCCUCGAAGUCCACAGCACAUCACGCCGCUCCUCCACGCCACCACAGCCACCCCUUCGCUACUCCUUCCUUACCUUCUCCCCCCUCCCACGCACACACACCACCACCACCACCACCGCGCCAAAGGCACCGGUGGCAGCGCUCAGUGCACGGUGGUCGUCCUCGUCCGUGUGUUCUUUGCGAGUCUUCGUUUUCCUUCAUUGUUUCGUUUCGUGGCUUGUUUGCGUCUGUGCGCGUCUCUCACCCUCCACCCUCGCUCUUCGCGCGCGAGCGGCCCCCUCUCUCGGUCCGUCGGUCGCCUCUCCGACUGCGUUGUUGUUGCGCGUCGAUCUUUCUUCUCUCGUCUCUUGUUCUUCGUUGCUCCGGCCAAGCAUGGAAAACCGGCCACACGAGGACUCCGAAUCGAAGGAAGCGGCAGCGGCGGCGCUCUUGUCGCGUGAAUCGUACGAAUCCGUGCAGAGGCUGUCGAAGUGCCCCAGCGACUUACCCAGCAGCGAGAACCGCUACGAGGUCAUCGCCGCCGCCAUGAAGGGUGACGACCACGGCAUGGGCGGCAGCACGAGCCGCGUAGUCAACUACGGUGGCCCGCACGGCAACGGAAGCCUGUUCAGCAUGAGCAAGGCGGAGUACGCGAAGCUGGAGAAGAGGGAGGCCAAGUACUUGCGCAUCGCCCAGAAGAUCCUGAGUGCUUGUGGCAUUACCAUUGGCGGCGAUAAGCCAUACGACAUGGUCGUGCACAACCCGAUGCUGUUCCGCCGCGUUAUCCGCAAGGGCAGUCUUGGCCUCGGUGAGGCCUACAUGGAGGGUUGGUGGGACACCCGCGACUUCUAUGCCCUGGACGACUUCUUCAAGCGCAUUCUGCAGAGUGGGAUCGAGUACUACUUUCCAAAUAACGCCAAAGACAUGCUCAACAUCAUCCGCGCCAAGGUGCACAACCCGCAAACCAAGUCGAAGAGUCGCAGGGUGGGUAUGCAGCACUACGACAUCGGCAACGAGUUCUUUCGAAACAUGCUGGGGCCGAGCAUGCAAUACAGCUGCGCGUAUUGGGAGAAGCACGUCGGCUCCGCCGAAGACCACAUGAUUAAGCCGGUGGAGACGCUGGACGAGGCGCAGGAGCUAAAGCUGCACAUGAUUGGCGAGAAGCUGCGCCUGCGUCCAGGGAUGGAGGUGCUUGAUUGUGGCUGUGGGUGGGGCGCUCUGGCGGCGUUUCUGAGCGAGAAGUACAGCGUGAAGGUGACAGGCAUCACGAUCUCCGAGGAGCAGCGCGAGGGUGCCGCGCGUUUGGUGAAGGACGACCCGAACGUGACUAUCCUCAACCGCGACUACCGCGACGCCACCUUCGACCGCAAGUUUGACCGCAUCGUGAGCGUCGGCAUGUUCGAGCACGUUGGCCCCAAGAACUACAAGACCUUUUUCAAGCACAUGCGCCGUCUACUGCGCGACGACGACCCGGAAGCGGUUCUGUUGCUGCACACCAUCGGCAGCAAGACGACCAUGAGCAGCGCCGAUCAGUGGUACCUCAAGUACAUUUUUCCAGGCGGCUGUCUGCCGAGCAUUUCGAGUAUUGGCAAGGGCAUCGAGGCGUAUUUUGUCAUGGAGGACCUGCAUAACUUCGGCUUCUUCUAUGGCUUGACGCUGCUUGCCUGGCGCUCGAACUUUCUCGUUCACUGGAACAAGUCGGCCGAGAGCACGAAGCCCGGCGCGGAUGCGUUUUUUCGCAUGUUCUACUACUACCUGAGCAGCAGCGCUGGCGCCUUCGAGGCACGUGACCUUCAGCUGUGGCAAGUGGUCCUGAGCCCGAAGGGGACACCUGGGUACGUCAGCGUGUACCGGCCGUAAAAGUGGUGCGAAAAAAGGGCGCGUCGAUGGGGAGCUGAGCGCUCGCGUCGGAGAGCCGCCCUGGAUGCGGCCAGGGCCCCUCCUUGCGAAGCUGCGUUCCCCUAUCCCCCCCCCGGUGUGUUCUUCUCACGUCAUCCGCUUUCAGCGGGUCAUGCCCGGGGCUUUGCAUCGGCGUGGCUGAGCCCCCACCCCCACCCCCACCCCAACUCUUCUGCCCCCUCCCCCUCCUCGGUGUUCUUGUUCGCCUUUCGUUUUUUUUUUUGAGGUGGUGGUGGUGGUGAUUGCUCUUGUCCUAUUGCUUCCUUCAAAUGCCUCCACGGGCGCAUCUCUUUCCACCCACCCACCCCCCGUGUGUGCAUGUGGGGGGGGGGGAGGGGGGUGCUUAUGCACUUAUUAUUAUUUUAGGUGUGCGUUGCCCCACGCCGGUGGGGGCCUGUGGCAGUGCCAGUGGUAGGGUGGCAAGCUCAUGUUGUUGAUGUCGGAAAAUGGGAAGAGGCAGGCUGAAUCCACAAUAGGAAUGGCGAAACCACAAAACGUCUUCCGAUCUGAUCUCUUAUUCCUUUUCGUUGUCCGUGUUAUGUGUAUUUGUGUUUGCGUGCAGUUGUAGAGAGCUGGAAUGCCUGCGUCGGCGUCUCCUUUUCUGGCCCCCCUCCAAACCUCUCCUCUCCGCCUCUUUCGUUUAUGUGACGAUGUGUCCGUUUUUCUCUGCCGGCGAACGCGCAAGGCAUUUUUUUUUACUGCGCACGUCCCCGCUCCCGCUUCGCCUGUCGUGCGUCUCCGGCAACCGAUUACGUCAUCCUUCCCCGCGUAUGUGGAUAGGUGGAUAGCGCCGCGUCGUUCUUUGCUUAUCCAUCGCGGCUUUUUUGUUGUUUUUGUUUCUUUCGUUGGUGUCGUCGUGGUUCAUGAGCGUUCUCUACGGGUGUUUGGUAUGGUUGAUGGCGUCUGCCCUCCCCUCUCACCCUCUGUGCUCUCACUGGCCCAUCGGCCACCCCCUUUCCUUCCCUCCUGCCUUGGUAUCAAUGACCACCCGUCUCGCCUAUCAUUGUCUCUCUGAGCUUCUCUGUGUGUGAGCGUGUGUCGGUGUGCGUCCGUGCUCGCCCGCGUCUUCACUCUUCGCCUUGGGUGGUCCCGACCCCCACCCGCACGUCUCUCCACCGCUUACCCUAUUGUGUGGCUCUCGCCGCCUUUCUUCUUUUCCUCCUCUCUCUCUUGUAUGGGGUCGUCGUGGGCUGCUUGUCGUUCUCAUGGUCAGGCGCUCGCCACCCCCACCCUCUC
Molecule: unclassified non-coding RNA, 3755 nt
Filed under: Leishmania donovani
Lineage: Eukaryota; Euglenozoa; Kinetoplastea; Trypanosomatida; Trypanosomatidae
Description: gene:LdHU3.08.0620(CDS-product:Mycolic_acid_cyclo propane_synthetase/Methyltransferase_small_domain/Methyltra nsferase_domain_containing_protein_putative)
Source: RNAcentral